GUUUGGUUUGAUUAGAGUGGCUUACCGGUUGUUGAUGAUCUUGACGUGUGGAAACGUUCUUAUUGCAAUCAUUCCACGCUUCUGUAAUUGUUACUUUGGUAAGAAAUAUUAUUUAAAAAGAAUAUUAAUUUCCAACUUGGGUUGUGCGCUUGAUGUUGGUUAAAAUAAGAUUUGGGGAAAACAACACCGUGAAAUUGCUAAAGUUGUUGUAACUAAGAUUGUGGUGUUCAGAAUCAUGUGUGCAUUGCCAAGCGCAAAAUCUGAUUAUGCGAUAGACAGCUUAUCUAGUUGCUGUAGUGUUUACAUGAGAAAAGUAGUAGAGGAAAUAUAGUUGAGCAGUGUAUAUCCAAAUAUAAGGUGAUCCAAAUUUGACAUGUUAUUGCACAUUAGGUAUGUAGUAAGAUUAUAUGGAAUCUGAUUUACUUUAUUCAAGCUUGAAUAUCAGUAGUAUAGU
Paramuricea clavata is the source of this 454-nucleotide non-coding RNA. NCBI's taxonomy places the organism in Eukaryota, Metazoa, Cnidaria, Anthozoa, Malacalcyonacea, Plexauridae. The record is from the annotation of a GenBank genome assembly.